CAGCCGCCGCGGUAAUACGUAGGGGGCAAGCGUUGUCCGGAAUCACUGGGUGUAAAGGGCGUGUAGGCGGGUCAGCAAGUUGGAUGUGAAAUUCCCCGGCUUAACCGGGGAGGGUCAUCCAAAACUGUUGAUCUUGAGUGCAGCAGGGGGUGGUGGAAUUCCUGGUGUAGCGGUGAAAUGCGUAGAUAUCAGGAGGAACACCGGAGGCGAAGGCGGCCACCUGGGCUGUUACUGACGCUGAGGCGCGAAAGCGUGGGGAGCAAACAGGAUUAGAUACCCUGGUAGUCCACGCUGUAAACGAUGGGCACUAGGUGCUGGCAUGGUGAAUGUCGGUGCCGCAGCUAACGCAUUAAGUGCCCCACCUGGGGAGUACGCUCGCAAGGGUGAAACUUAAAGGAAUUGGCGGG
This 407-nucleotide ribosomal RNA is filed under the name uncultured microorganism. Its description in RNAcentral is "bacterial SSU rRNA". It matches the Rfam family "Bacterial small subunit ribosomal RNA", at positions 509 to 917 of the family's 1533-position model. The record is from RNAcentral.